UAGGGAAUCUUCGGCAAUGGACGGAAGUCUGACCGAGCAACGCCGCGUGAGUGAAGAAGGUUUUCGGAUCGUAAAGCUCUGUUGUUAGAGAAGAACGUUGGUAGGAGUGGAAAAUCUACCAAGUGACGGUAACUAACCAGAAAGGGACGGCUAACUACGUGCCAGCAGCCGCGGUAAUACGUAGGUCCCGAGCGGUGUCCGGAUUUAUUGGGCGUAAAGCGAGCGCAGGCGGUUCUUUAAGUCUGAAGUUAAAGGCAGUGGCUUAACCAUUGUACGGUUUGGAAACUGGAGGACUUGAGUGCAGAAGGGGAGAGGGGAAUUCCAUGUGUAGCGGUGAAAUGCGGAGAUAUAUGGAGGAACACCGGUGGCGAAAGCGGCUCUCUGGUCUGUAACUGACGCUGAGGCUCGAAAGCGUGGGGAGAAAACAGG
This 429-nucleotide ribosomal RNA is filed under the name Bacillota bacterium. RNAcentral's name for it is "Firmicutes bacterium partial 16S ribosomal RNA". It matches the Rfam family "Bacterial small subunit ribosomal RNA", at positions 355 to 776 of the family's 1533-position model. The record is from RNAcentral. Lineage: Bacteria; Bacillati; Bacillota.